This 505-nucleotide ribosomal RNA is filed under the name uncultured bacterium. RNAcentral describes it as "partial 16S ribosomal RNA". It matches the Rfam family "Bacterial small subunit ribosomal RNA", at positions 28 to 507 of the family's 1533-position model. The record is from RNAcentral.
GACGAACGCUGGCGGCGUGCCUAAUACAUGCAAGUAGAACGCACAGUUUAUACUGUAGCUUGCUACACCAUAGACUGUGAGUUGCGAACGGGUGAGUAACGCGUACGUAACCUGCCUGGUAGCGGGGGAUAACUAUUGGUAACGAUAGCUAAUACCGCAUAAUACUGAUUAUUGCAUGAUAAUUUAUUGAAAGAUGCUAUUGCAUCACUACCUGAUGGACCUGCGUUGUAUUAGCUAGUAGGGGAGGUAACGGCUCACCUAGGCGACGAUACAUAGCCCCAAGGAGGGGGUGGUCGGCCACACUGGGACGGAGACACGGCCCAGACGGCUUGGGGAAGGAGCAGUAGGGAAACUUCGGCAAUGGACGAAAGUUUGACCGCGCAACGCCGCGGGAGUGAAGAGGGUUUUCGGAUCGUAAAGCUCUGUUGUAAGGGAAGAACGGGUGUGAGCGUGGAAAGUUCACUGUGUGACGGUAUCUUACCAGAAAGGGACGGCUAACUACGUG